Molecule: long non-coding RNA, 561 nt
Organism: Equus caballus (horse)
Lineage: Eukaryota; Metazoa; Chordata; Mammalia; Perissodactyla; Equidae
Source: RefSeq, a predicted model, not a curated record
GGCCAGCUCACAGAAGCCGCUGGGCAGGGUGCCAAGCUCAGCCCCACUGAGCCAGAGGAUCUUGAGGGCACGCAGGGCACUGAUAUCCUCAGCACGAGUCCCAUCUUCUUUCAGCCUCCAAAGCCGUCAGUCGUCCUGGACAGAAGUCAGAGGAGCAACCUUAUUGGGUACAUCAUAAACUGUGAGGAGGUCAAGGGAAUUCCAGGAUGGAAUGCAGAAUGUGACAAAACUAUCUGUACUACAAUGUAUGAAAUAACUUCGCUGCGAGGUGAUGGGCCAAAAUGUUAACCUAAGUGACUUUGGAAAUGAGUGGAAUCUGUUAGACUGCAGGCAAAAGAAACUGUAUGUCAACACUACACUCUACUUGGAAGUGGAACGUGGAAUUUCCAUGUCCUGAUGGGAGAUAAUUACAGGGAGAGAAAAGUCUGCUGUGGGUAUUGUGUAAUGUGCACCCAAAUACAGAAGAAUAAACCACGCCGUUAUCCAAAGAGUAAAAUCCUGCCUGAUUCUUGCUGGGAAUUCUGACAUUGGUUGAAACAAAACUUAAAAAAAAAAAAAAAA